UCAUAACUAGUUCAGAACAAGCCCUUUCUGCAGUCAGUCUCACAAGCUGUCUCUGCUGGAAGAUGCCAAAAGAACCUUUGAAGACAGCACUGCUAAGAAGAGCUGGACCAGCCCCAGCCAGGUGACCAGCCAGCACCUCUAAACUGUAAACACCACCUACCCAUUGGCCUGUUGCUGGAUUUUGAUGAAAUACAUUCUUAAUGAUAAAAUUCCCUAAAGUAAAGAGUGUCAUGAUAAAGAAACCAUUGUGGAAAUUAAAAGAAUUAUAUCAA
Molecule: long non-coding RNA, 272 nt
Organism: Mastomys coucha (southern multimammate mouse)
Lineage: Eukaryota; Metazoa; Chordata; Mammalia; Rodentia; Muridae
Exons: 2
Source: RefSeq, a predicted model, not a curated record